This 497-nucleotide ribosomal RNA is filed under the name uncultured bacterium. RNAcentral's name for it is "partial 16S ribosomal RNA". It matches the Rfam family "Bacterial small subunit ribosomal RNA", at positions 28 to 507 of the family's 1533-position model. The record is from RNAcentral.
GAUGAACGCUGGCGGCGUGCCUAAUACAUGCAAGUCGAGCGCUCACAGGAGAAACUUGUCUUUCUGGUGUUAGCGGCGAACGGGUGAGUAAAACGUGGGGAACCUUCCUUUAAGCCGGGGACAACUUAGGGAAACCGGUGCUAAUACCGGAUAAACGUUUUAAACCCAAGGUUGAAGAGUGAAAGACGGACUUGCAUCCACUUAUCGAUGGUGCGAGUUGGAUUUAGCUGGUUGGUAGGGUAACGGCUCACCAGGGCAACGAUCCAUAGCCGGCCUGAGAGGGUGACCGGCCACACGGGAACGGAGACACGGUCCAGACUCCUACGGGAGGCAGCAGUGGGGAAUUUUGCACAAUGGGCGAAAGCCUGACGAAGCAAUGCCGCGUGGAUGAGGAAGGUCUUCGGUUCGUAAAAUACUUUUAGCGGGGAGGAAGAUAGUUAAAUUAAAAAGUUCACUAAUUGACGGUACCCACACAGAAAGCCACGGCUAACUCCGUG